This 253-nucleotide ribosomal RNA is filed under the name uncultured bacterium. Its description in RNAcentral is "partial 16S ribosomal RNA". It matches the Rfam family "Bacterial small subunit ribosomal RNA", at positions 524 to 776 of the family's 1533-position model. The record is from RNAcentral.
GACAGAGGGUGCAACCGUUGCUCGGAAUUACUGGGCGUAAAGCGCGUGUAGGCGGACCUGCAAGUCGGACGUGAAAGCCCUGGGCUCAACCCAGGAACUGCAUCCGAAACUGCGGGCCUGGAGUGGUGGAGAGGGAAGCAGAAUUCCUGGUGUAGAGGUGAAAUUCGUAGAUAUCAGGAGGAACACCGGUGGCGAAGGCGGCUUCCUGGACACUUACUGACGCUGAGACGCGAAAGCGUGGGGAGCAAACAGG